Molecule: ribosomal RNA, 471 nt
Filed under: uncultured bacterium
Lineage: Bacteria
Description: bacterial SSU rRNA
Rfam family: Bacterial small subunit ribosomal RNA
Source: RNAcentral
GGGCUCACACAAGCGGUGGAGGAUGUGGCUUAAUUCGAGGCUACGCGAAAAACCUUAUCCUGGAUUUGACAUGCUUGGAUUAGCUCUGUGAAAGCAGAGUGACGCCUUCGGGUGGAACAAGCACAGGUGCUGCAUGGCUGUCGUCAGCUCGUGUCGUGAGAUGUCGGGUUAAGUCCCUUAACGAGCGAAACCCUUAUCGUUAGUUGCCAGCGAGUAAUGUCGGGGACUCUAACGAGACUGCCGGUGUUAAACCGGAGGAAGGUGGGGAUGACGUCAAGUCCUCAUGGCCUUUAUGUCCAGGGCUGCACACGUCCUACAAUGGUGCGCACAAAGGGAAGCAAACUCGCGAGAGCAAGCAAAUCCCAAAAAACGCACCCCAGUUCGGAUUGCAGGCUGCAAUUCGCCUGCAUGAAGUCGGAAUCGCUAGUAAUCGCGGGUCAGCAUACCGCGGUGAAUGUGUUCCUGAGCCUU